GACGAACGCUGGCGGCGUGCUUAACACAUGCAAGUCGAACGGAAAGGCCCUGCUUUUGUGGGGUGCUCGAGUGGCGAACGGGUGAGUAACACGUGAGUAACCUGCCCUUGACUUUGGGAUAACUUCAGGAAACUGGGGCUAAUACCGGAUAGGAGCUCCUGCUGCAUGGUGGGGGUUGGAAAGUUUCGGCGGUUGGGGAUGGACUCGCGGCUUAUCAGCUUGUUGGUGGGGUAGCGGCUUACCAAGGCUUUGACGGGUAGCCGGCCUGAGAGGGUGACCGGCCACAUUGGGACUGAGAUACGGCCCAGACUCCUGCGGGAGGCAGCAGUGGGGAAUAUUGCACAAUGGGCGGAAGCCUGAUGCAGCAACGCCGCGUGCGGGAUGACGGCCUUCGGGUUGUAAACCGCUUUCGCCUGUGACGAAGCGUGAGUGACGGUAAUGGGUAAAGAAGCACCGGCUAACUACGUG
Molecule: ribosomal RNA, 468 nt
Filed under: uncultured bacterium
Lineage: Bacteria
Description: partial 16S ribosomal RNA
Rfam family: Bacterial small subunit ribosomal RNA
Source: RNAcentral